Molecule: long non-coding RNA, 3569 nt
Organism: Hippopotamus amphibius kiboko
Lineage: Eukaryota; Metazoa; Chordata; Mammalia; Artiodactyla; Hippopotamidae
Exons: 3
Source: RefSeq, a predicted model, not a curated record
CCUGCUACAGCAGGAGGGAGUGAAAAUAAGUAACAGGUUCCCUUCGCUCCCUGAGGUGGGGGGCAAGCUGGUUCCUUAUAUGGGGUGAGGGUAGGGCUGUGUCCAGGGGUCGGGCUGGAGGGGUGGCUUAGGUGGUCUGCCAACCUCUUUGAUGGUGUUGUGUGCAGGGGGCAUAUGCAGUACCCAGCUUUUGCUCCUGACACCCUAUUUUUGCUCCCAGCUCUUCAGAAGUGGUAGUUGGGUGUUUUUUUUUUCCCUUUGUCUUUUGUUGGUCAUAAUUUGCCCCAACUGCACAUGCACACGGUUAUUUUUAGUCCCUUAUAGUUUCUUUGUAUUUUGCUGUUCAAAGAGACCUCUUUUUGGAAUGAAUGAAUGUCCCCCCAGCUGCUGCCAUGAUUAGUGUCAGUAGCCAUGGUCCAGACGUCUCAUGGGGUGUUACGCUCCCUUAAGUUCUUCAGUACCCAUCUCUGGGUUCUUUCACGAGUCCCUAACAUUUGUAUGUGUGUUUCAGCUUGUUUGUUGCAUUCUGUUUAACAUCUGCCAGUCCUUAUAAAACUGAGGUGGAUUCUCCUUUACUCAAACAUGUGGCACACAUGAAAUGAUUCAAUGUGUGUGUCUGAGGCAGAAGGGCAGCCUCUCUCUGGGGGCAUGAGGAGAGGGAAGACCUGAGGAGAAGACGGUCACUAACACCAAGCUGACAGCUGGAAAACAGAGCAGAGGGAUCCCAGCCACGAUCCCCUGACUAUGCUCAGCAAGAUAGGCUAUGGGAGUUUCCUUCUCCAAAACACCAGAGAUGAGACUGGAUGAAGUCGGAGGAGUGUCAAGUGGAGAUCAGGUCCCAAUAGUCCACUGUACUUUAGCCAGCGGGAUUUGAUGGGACAAUCAGGUAAGGGGUUGAGCCAAACAUGGCCUGGGGACUGCGCAGGGUCCUGACUUCCCAGACCAGCUGCCUGGCUGGGAACAGGGCUCCAUGUAGGUCACUCAGCUGAAGGGUGGCUGGGACUACAUCUCCAGCUGCAUCCCCCAAAGCCCCCGCCUCCUGAGAACCCACAACGUCUCACAUUUCCACAUCCUGCAAGCUUUGUGCCUCCUGCCAAAGGUGCCAUCACCUCAUCCCCCAUUUGACUAAUCCCGAGACUCACCAACAGUAGAGUAACGCCAAUUCCAUUUAGACAUGCCAGCUUUAUACCAAGAUGAUCCCAACUUUAGAUUUAUAGAACAUACAACAAUGUGGAAAAGCUAAAAUACUUAAGCACUCUAGUUAUGAAAAAGAUAUCUACAGAAAUGGAAAGAAAAUGUCUAAUUAAAAUCAGUGGAGUAAAGACAGGUCACAGGGCCAAGUACAGUUGGGCAUGGGUUUUGGAGUCAGGCAGAGUCAGUUGUGCAAACUGUCCCGUCUCUUGGCCUGCACCUCACCAGUGAGAUGACCACUUGACUUGUCUUCCAGCUUGCUGUAAGGUUGAUGAAAUGCAGUCAUAUGUUCAGGCUAUAAGAAUUGGUCUUUAGGAGGAGUUUCCUCUAAAACCAAUUCAGUGUAUGAGGAUUACAAAGCACUUAAAAAAAAAAUUAUGAGUUCCAAUCCGGACUUCCAGGGCCUUGGGAGCAAAAAGCUUAUGAAAGGACAGUUACCCCUGUGGUCAUUUGUGCAAUUGUAAAGGUGGUUAUGUUGAAUUUUCUCAAAGCAUCUGUAAUUUGCUAACUUAUAGUAAUAACCUUGGCAUUCUCUGCAUUUUUUUCUUUGUUUUUUCUGUCUUUACUAGUCUUUUUCUUUUUGUAUUGAAGUUUCCAUCAUGUGAACAAUGAAUGUCAAAUGUGUGCUUUUGUUGAGAACACAGGCUCAAGAGUACAACACAGCCAUGAAAGCUGGAGUGGAGCACAGCAGCCAGUCGGUGUGCAGAGAAAUCUUCAGCAAACCCGGAAGGUUAAAACUUCAACAACAUUGUCUUCUACUGAUUGAAGAGGCAGCUCAAUAGCACUGGUCAUACCAACUUAUAUAUGCCAGCAAGCAGGAGGAGAAAACAGGCUACAUGCUAUGAAAAUCUGUUACAUAUUUCAUUUGGAAUGCAUACUGGAUUAUUAAGGUGCAGUUUUGAUGUGGAAUAAAUUUGGUGUUUGGAGCAGAAAUCCUAUGGCCAUGAACAGAGGUGUACUUUGUGUAUUUGACACCCAGAGCAGACCUCAACUCUUCAAACUUAAACAUCUAAAAUCUUCACGUAUGAAUUUACUUCUGAGUAUAAGAAUCCUCCUUAACCUACUCACAUUCCCUGUCUUCUAAAUCUGUAUAACUGUCAUCUUCAGUUAUGACUUCCAGUUCCUUAACCCGUCCUUUUCCCAAAUACCUCCAAAAUCGACAUUAUGCUUAGCACCAUCUUUAAAACCCAUGUCCCAGUGACUUCCCACCAUCUCCCACUCAUAACUCGUAGCCUCAGGAAAAGUCAUAGGAAGUAAGAAAAAUAUAUGAGAUAAAGGUCUGAGCACUACAAAUGACCUACUUAUACUGCACAAAUUUUCAGGUAACCCAAUAGUAUUAUUUUAUGACAUAAGAAUCUUUAGCCACACAGCAUGGGAGCAGAGAAUGUCAGCGGUGGGUCAUCUCUGCCUGAGAUCAUUGACAUUGAGGUCAAUCACCAUGCAGUCGAAAUUUUCCCAGUAGUAAAUAUUCCCAUUUUCAGAUCUCUUUUGAAAUUAGUUUCAAAAAUAGGAACACUAGGAAAUUUCCCAGGGACUAAAUUAAGUAUCAAAGACACAAGGACCAAGAUCAGUCUUCACCCCUACAGGCAAGCUAUAGGGUUCUACCCUCAAGUUUUAACUUUUGCUUCCUCUUUUCACUGCCUCCCCAGCUAUUACAAAAGCUUCCUAAUUCUUAUUUUCUGUCUCUUCUUAUUCUCAUCUACUCCACAUUAUAAAGCUAACAUGAUUUUUCUAAAGUAUAGCUCUAAUUACAUGAUUACCUUGAUAAGAAACAUCAUCCAUUACCUUUUCAAGUGUUUAAAUAUCCUUUUUUUAUUGACGUAUAGCUGACUUACAAUAUUAUACUAGUUUCAGGUGUACACGUGAUUCAAUGCUUUUGUAGAUUACACAGCAUACAAAGUUAUUACAAUAUUAUUGACUAUAUUCCCUUUGUUGUGCAUUACAUCCCUGUGACUUAUUUAUAACUGGUAGUUUGUGCCUCUUAACAUCCAGUACCUCUUGAAAUAAACUAUGACUAGCCCAGCAUUCAACGCCAUUCAAAUUCCUCUUCCAUCCCUCUUUCUCCUGGCUCCCCUCUCUAUGCACAGAUCCUCCCACUUAAGUCACAUCACAGAUCACUUAGAUGUGAUCUUCCAUAAUUUGAGUCCCUGCUCUGUUUUAAACCCUGGAGUACUUUGUAUUUCUCUUGUGGCAAAUAUUUCACUCUACUUUUUUCUUUCCUUUUAAAAAAAAUGUGCCUAUUUCUCUUACUGUCCCAUUAGAUGUUAUGAUUUUUUAGACCAGAAAUUGUAUCUCUGUAUUUGUUAACACAAAGUACCUGAGUACAAAUUAGGUACUCAAAUAAAAUAAAAACAAUGUUAACUGAAUGGUGCUUAGUA